UACGUAGGUGGCAAGCGUUAUCCGGAAUUAUUGGGCGUAAAGAGCGCGCAGGUGGUUAAUUAAGUCUGAUGUGAAAGCCCACGGCUUAACCGUGGAGGGUCAUUGGAAACUGGUUGACUUGAGUGCAGAAGAGGGAAGUGGAAUUCCAUGUGUAGCGGUGAAAUGCGUAGAGAUAUGGAGGAACACCAGUGACGAAGGCGGCUUCCUGGUCUGCAACUGACACUGAGGCGCGAAAGCGUGGGGAGCAAACAGG
RNAcentral lists this ribosomal RNA (253 nucleotides) under uncultured bacterium. Its description in RNAcentral is "partial 16S ribosomal RNA". It matches the Rfam family "Bacterial small subunit ribosomal RNA", at positions 524 to 776 of the family's 1533-position model. The record is from RNAcentral.